CUUAACUUGUCCAACAAAUGCACUUUUGUUAGAAUUUUGAGAGAGUACAUUGUUGAUGGUAUUGGGUGUUAUUCCAUUCGCUUCACAUAUUGCAUCGUUCAUGAUGAUCUCUACCGUCUUUUGCCUUCCACCAAAUACUUCAACACCUCCAAUUCCAUCUAUGUCAUUAAGUCGGU
This 176-nucleotide ribosomal RNA is filed under the name uncultured eukaryote. RNAcentral describes it as "partial small subunit ribosomal RNA". The record is from RNAcentral.